ACAAACUUGGUCAUUUAGAGGAAGUAAAAGUCGUAACAAGGUUUCCGUAGGUGAACCUGCGGAAGGAUCAUUACAGAUUCAAAGGGGGGUGAUGUUCGCUCGCCGUGCACUCACCUCUUCAUUUUUGGUUGACCCUGUGCACCUUUUGUAGGCGGGGGGAGCAAGCAAUAGCUUGUUUCCUUGUCUAUGCAUUUUUUUCCUUUCACUCCAUGUGAUUAGAAUAACUGUUAUAAAUUUUAAAAACCUUUUAUAUCUUUCAACAAUGGAUCUCUUGGCUCUCGCAUCGAUGAAGAACGCAGC
This 300-nucleotide unclassified non-coding RNA is filed under the name uncultured fungus. Its description in RNAcentral is "partial contains small subunit ribosomal RNA, internal transcribed spacer 1, and 5.8S ribosomal RNA". The stretch from base 1 to 73 matches the Rfam family "Eukaryotic small subunit ribosomal RNA", at positions 1759 to 1831 of the family's 1831-position model. The record is from RNAcentral. Lineage: Eukaryota; Fungi.